CUAGUGGCGCACGGGUGCGUAACGCGUGGGAAUCUGCCCUUAGGUACGGAAUAACUCAGAGAAAUUUGUGCUAAUACCGUAUGAUGUCGAAAGACCAAAGAUUUAUCGCCUAAGGAUGAGCCCGCGUAAGAUUAGCUUGUUGGUGAGGUAAAAGCUCACCAAGGCGACGAUCUUUAGCUGGUCUGAGAGGAUGAUCAGCCACACUGGGACUGAGACACGGCCCAGACUCCUACGGGAGGCAGCAGUGGGGAAUAUUGGACAAUGGGCGAAAGCCUGAUCCAGCAAUGCCGCGUGAGUGAUGAAGGCCUUAGGGUUGUAAAGCUCUUUUACCAGGGAUGAUAAUGACAGUACCUGGAGAAUAAGCUCCGGCUAACUCCGUGCCAGCAGCCGCGGUAAUACGGAGGGAGCUAGCGUUGUUCGGAAUUACUGGGCGUAAAGCGUACGUAGGCGGUUAUUCAAGUCAGAGGUGAAAGCCUGGAGCUCAACUCCAGAACUGCCUUUGAAACUAGAUAGCUAGAAUCUUGGAGAGGUGAGUGGAAUUCCGAGUGUAGAGGUGAAAUUCGUAGAUAUUCGGAAGAACCCCAGUGGCGAAGGCGACUCACUGGACAAGUAUUGACGCUGAGGUACGAAAGCGUGGGGAGCAAGCAGGAUUAGAUACCCUGGUAGUCCACGCCGUAAACGAUGAUAACUAGCUGUUCGG
Molecule: ribosomal RNA, 700 nt
Filed under: uncultured Alphaproteobacteria bacterium
Lineage: Bacteria; Pseudomonadati; Pseudomonadota; Alphaproteobacteria
Description: bacterial SSU rRNA
Rfam family: Bacterial small subunit ribosomal RNA
Source: RNAcentral